UGGAAGAGCAAGAUGACUUGCCCCAGGGGUGGCGGCCUCAGCCCGUCUGGCGCUUUCACCAUCACAAGGAGUUUAAACUCCGCUGUGGCCCCUGCGCCCCCCUCCCUCGCCCAGGUUAAUGACCGCGAUAAGACCUUGCUGCUACUGGGGGUCUCGCUGGAGGGUAACGGUGCGGUUAAGGGCGUGAGUAACGGCUUCUCACUGGGCUCUGAGCGCCAGGCAGGACUCUGGCCUGGGUGGCGCAGGGUCCCCCGCAGGGACCUGAGGUGUCUUCCAGGGUGCACUCUGUGUUGCUGGGCUUUCUUCUUCUUCCUUCAACCCUUGGUCUCAGUGUAGAGGUCAUCUCCUUGGGGACCUGGCCAUCCUGUCUACAGUACGCGUCUCUGUCCCCCAGUUUUCUCUUAAUUAUGUCUCUUUCCUUCACCAGACACAGGCUCCGUGGGUGGGGGCUGAGCCAGAGGAGCAGUCUGUGACCCCUGAUGCUUCUCCGUGCACUCCGGGUCCCCGCUGUGGUUAGCUGUGCUUUGUCCCCGAAAGAAAACCGAAUUACAAGAUCUUGACGCAUAAAGAAAGGAGUCCAAGAGUGCGCAGCCCAAUCCAGACAGGCCAGAAGGAAUUAUUACAGAAGCGUGUUAGGACGGUGGCCCUUCUGGAGCGUCUGUAGUGACCGAUCUGUGGUUCACCCCGUCCCCGACGCGCCGAGGCUCCACGCGCCGAGGCUCGACUCACAAGCCUUCGACUCACAAGCC
Non-coding RNA from Ictidomys tridecemlineatus (thirteen-lined ground squirrel), 749 nucleotides. The record is from RefSeq and is a predicted model, not a curated record. Lineage: Eukaryota; Metazoa; Chordata; Mammalia; Rodentia; Sciuridae.